UAAAAAUUACUAUAAUUUUAUUUAUAGUAAUAAUAAAAAAUUGAAUUAAUAAGAAGCGUAAAAACCCAGAAUGCGGACUAAAUGUUUAUUAUUGUUUUCGUUAUGUAAGGGUUGUCGACCUACAGAUAGCCUGCAGUACCUAUACGGUCAGUAAUCAGUAUGCCUUUAACGUCGGUAUCGACCACUUCAAAAUUUAAGUGUUGUAAUUUGAAAACUCUUAUAUGAAGUAUGCUCCGAUCAUUUCAGUGGAUGUAGAGAGUGUUCGUUUUGUAUGUUAAAUGUUGAAUAUUCUGCCGGACAAUAGUCAGUUUCACUACUGCGAAUUAAGAGAAAUAUACGUUAGGUAAUUACAUUUUUUUUUUUUAAUUUAAAUUAACUUUUAAAAAAAAAUUUCAACUAGGUAGGUAGUUCAUAUUAAUUUUUGGUCAUGCUAUUUUUUUUUGCUUUUUUUUUUUAGAAAAUAAAUACACUUCUUAUUUGCUUUUUUAUAAUAAUCGUGUGCUUUUUUAGUUGCUUAUUAUGCUUUAAAAUCCGAGCCCUAUUAAUAAGUAAUUUAAAACAUUAAAUACCGUGUUGUAACUGGGCCCCCAUAAUUUGGUGCGAACAGGGGCCCACCGGGAAAAUCCCAAUUUCGCUAUAAUAGGCCUAAUAACCACCUCUGCUUACCAAUAACUUACUAAAAAAUUACAGUAUUUCAUUAAUAAUAAUUUAUCAAACCAGUUUUUAAUGUAUUGCUGAUGAGUGAUGAUUAGGGUUAGGAUGUUUAUGAUUUUCCAUAUUUUUUUAGAUUGUCCAAUGGCUUUCGUUCUCAUACAGAAAUGUGUCUCAUGAUAUCUAUAUUUAAAAUACCAAAUUUUUAUUUUGCAUACUUAUAAUUGCAUAUUUUUCCAUUUUUUAUUUAUACCUAAGUGCAUAAUUUAUGUUUUUUCUACUUAUAAGCGCAUAUUUGACGGUUUUCGAUGAAAAAUGAUAAAAAAUAACGUAAUUUUAUGGUAUAACGAGCAAGGCCGCAACUGAAAAAAAAUUUCGAGGGGGAGGUCCAAAUUUUUUUUUAAAUCUAUAGAUAUUGAACGUAAUUUCUACGUUAAAAGUAUAAAAUUUGAUUAUUAUCGUUAUUGAAAACUUAAUUCGUCAUUAUAAUACUUAAUUCACAUAAUAGUUAAUUAUUUAAUAAUAAAAAAAUAUUUCUACUUUUAAAAAUUUCGAUGAGGGGGCCGGACUCCUGCACCCUCCCCUCAGUUACUGCCUUGAAAACGAGUACAUAAAAAUAACACCAACACAAUUUGUUGAUAUUUUAAUAUUCUAUCUAUUAAUAAUAAUUUAAUUUAUCUCUAUAUAUUUAUUGAACUUAUUUUCACAUUUCUUUAUUUUUAAUGCAUAUUUUUCAAAUUUUUCAUACACAUUUAACUGUUUUUUUAGCGCAUAAGUGCAUACUUAUUCAUAUAUGUUUUAGUGCAUAAACAUGCUUAUGCCGUUCACCGUCAUUUUAAUCGAGGCCUAUGUUCGUUAUCACUUAAUGUCACUCGUACUUAUAAGAUAAAAUUAAAUUAUUAUUUUUCUAAAAUUGAAUAAUAAUUAUAUUCACAGAUAUAUAAAAUAAUAAAUAAUAUAAUAUGUAAAUUGUAAAUAUUUAUUUUAUAUAUCUGUGUGCUAUCUAUAUAUUAGUAUAUAAUAUUAUUGUUAUCUUCAUGAUAAACGUAAUGUAAAUCUAUUCUGUUAAUCAGUAUCGGAUAUCUGUGCUGAUUCAAAAGUUGUAAGUUAUUAUUUACAAUCUUCAAUCUUGUAAGUUGUUAGGUUGUAACGCAGAAAUGCACAAACAAUUGAUGGAGAUAUGAAAUGGAUUUCAUCCAUUCUGUGGUUAGUAAGUAUUUGAUAAUUGAUAUUAUUAUAAUAUUAGACCGUUUCCGCGGUUCUGUGUAUCUUGAUGUUAAUAGGCAGUAUUGAAGAUGGGAAUUAAAAGAUAAAACAAUAGCCAUUUAUUUAAUAUUGGACGUACGAUUUUCGAAAAGUGAGCAUUUUUAUUUAAGGUUUUUCAUUGUUGCUUGAUAUUUUUCAAUAAUUAAUUAGUCGAAUUAAUAAAUUACACAACAUUUAAUUAAAAUGGAGAGUGUAAAUGAUAAUGUACAAAACAAAACCAAUCAUGUCAUGACGGAUAACGAUUAUUUGUUUGAUUUUGAACAAGAGAAUUGGCACAACCAAAAAAUUCAUCGUUCAAAUAUUAUGACAAAUAAUGCAGUGAAGACAAUUGAAAAAGAACGAGAAAACGUAGCAAAAGAUUUAAAGUUAUUACAAGCUAUUGAAGAAGAAAAAUCAAGGUUGAAAAAUUCAAUGGAAAUAUUUAUACAGUUGAAAAAUGAACUUGAAAAAAAACUCAAGUCAUAGUCAUUAAAGAACUUAUUUAAUUUACUUAAAAUAUACGAUCUAGUAAAAAUGAAAA
This is a long non-coding RNA of Aphis gossypii (cotton aphid), 2437 nucleotides long. RefSeq lists it as uncharacterized. The transcript is spliced from 2 exons. The record is from RefSeq and is a predicted model, not a curated record. NCBI's taxonomy places the organism in Eukaryota, Metazoa, Arthropoda, Insecta, Hemiptera, Aphididae.